CCUACGGGAGGCAGCAGUAGGGAAUAUUGCUCAAUGGGGGAAACCCUGAAGCAGCAACGCCGCGUGGAGGAUGAAGGUUCUCGGAUUGUAAACCCCUUUUGUUAGAGAAGAUAAUGACGGUAUCUAACGAAUAAGCACCGGCUAACUCCGUGCCAGCAGCCGCGGUAAUACGGAGGGUGCAAGCGUUACUCGGAAUCACUGGGCGUAAAGAGCGCGUAGGCGGGAUAGCAAGUCAGAUGUGAAAUCCUAUGGCUUAACCAUAGAACUGCAUUUGAAACUGUUAUACUAGAGUAUGGGAGAGGUAGGUGGAAUUCUUGGUGUAGGGGUAAAAUGCGUAGAGAUCAAGAGGAAUACUGAUUGCGAAGGCGGCCUGCUAGAACGUAACUGACGCUGAUGCGCGAAAGCGUGGGGAGCAAACAGGAUUAGAUACCCCAGUAGUC
This 440-nucleotide ribosomal RNA is filed under the name uncultured bacterium. RNAcentral describes it as "partial 16S ribosomal RNA". It matches the Rfam family "Bacterial small subunit ribosomal RNA", at positions 338 to 795 of the family's 1533-position model. The record is from RNAcentral.